Molecule: ribosomal RNA, 776 nt
Filed under: uncultured Neocallimastigales
Lineage: Eukaryota; Fungi; Neocallimastigomycota; Neocallimastigomycetes; Neocallimastigales
Description: partial large subunit ribosomal RNA
Rfam family: Eukaryotic large subunit ribosomal RNA
Source: RNAcentral
AGAGAGAGACAUGCGCGCAUAUCAAUAAGCGGAGGAAAAGAAACUAACAAGGAUUCCCUUAGUAACGGCGGGUGAAGCGGGAAGAGCUCAAAUUUGAAAUCUUCAAGGUUUUACCUUGACGAAUUGUAGUUUAAAGAAGUGUUUUCUGCUGAAGUUUUGGUAAAAGUUCUUUGGAAUAGGACAUCAUAGAGGGUGAGAAUCCCGUAUUUGACCAUUAUUUUCAGCUUUGUGAUACACUUUCAAAGAGUCGGAUUGUUUGGGAAUGCAGUCCAAAAUGGGUGGUAAAUUUCAUCUAAAGCUAAAUAUUGGCGAGAGACCGAUAGCGAACAAGUACCGUGAGGGAAAGAUGAAAAGAACUUUGAAAAGAGAGUUAAACAGUACGUGAAAUUGUCAAAAGGGAAGCGUUUGACACCAGUGUUGUUUUCUCGAAAAUCAAUUAAAAAUGGCUCGAUUUUGUAUUGCUUGAGACCUUAAAAGCUCACUGUACAUUUUUCGUGUCUUUUUUAAUGCACUUUUCGUUUAACAAGUCAACAUCAGUUUCUUUUGUUGUAAAAGGGUCAUUGGAAGGUGGCUUUCUUUUCGGAGAAAGUGUUUAUAGCCUUUGGCCUCUGCAAUCGGAAGAGACUGAGGUCUGCAGCGUAGACUCUUCGGGGUUAGAUACAUUUGUGCUAAGUUAUAGCUUUUUAUAGACAACUUGUUGACUAUAAUUAGUCUUGUAGCUUACUCGCUUAUGCUAUUUUACCUACGCUUAGGAUGUUGAGUCGUAGAGCACGCAG